UCGGGAAUUUUGGGCAAUGGGCGAAAGCCUGACCCAGCAACGCCGCGUGAAGGAUGAAGUAUUUCGGUAUGUAAACUUCGAAAGAAUAGGAAGAAUAAAUGACGGUACUAUUUAUAAGGUCCGGCUAACUACGUGCCAGCAGCCGCGGUAAUACGUAGGGACCAAGCGUUGUUCGGAUUUACUGGGCGUAAAGGGCGCGUAGGCGGCAAGUCAAGUCAUCUGUGAAAUCUCCGGGCUUAACUCGGAACGGUCAGAUGAUACUGCUUUGCUAGAGUGCAGAAGGGGCAAUCGGAAUUCUUGGUGUAGCGGUGAAAUGCGUAGAUAUCAAGAGGAACACCUGAGGUGAAGACGGGUUGCUGGGCUGACACUGACGCUGAGGUGCGAAAGCGUGGGGAGCAAACAGGAUUAGAUACCCAAGUAGUCCCUGAGCGGGCUGGCAAGGCGCAU
This 447-nucleotide ribosomal RNA is filed under the name uncultured bacterium. RNAcentral describes it as "bacterial SSU rRNA". It matches the Rfam family "Bacterial small subunit ribosomal RNA", at positions 355 to 825 of the family's 1533-position model. The record is from RNAcentral.